GGAGUUAGCCGGUGCUUCUUCUGUGAGUGAUGUCCUUCCUGCCGGUUAUUGACCCGCAGGCCUUCUUCCUCACUGAAAGUGCUUUACAACCCGAAGGCCUUCUUCACACACGCGGCAUGGCUGGAUCAGGGUUGCCCCCAUUGUCCAAUAUUCCCCACUGCUGCCUCCCGUAGGAGUCUGGGCCGUGUCUCAGUCCCAGUGUGGCUGAUCAUCCUCUCAGACCAGCUACGGAUCGUCGCCUUGGUGAGCCGUUACCUCACCAACCAGCUAAUCCGACAUAGGCUCAUCCGAUAGCGCGAGGCCCGAAGGUCCCCCGCUUUCCCCCGUAGGGCGUAUGCGGUAUUAGCCUGGGUUUCCCCAGGUUAUCCCCCACUACCGGGCAGAUUCCUAUGCAUUACUCACCCGUCCGCCGCUCGCCACCAGGGAGCAAGCUCCCCGUGCUGCCGCUCGACUUGCAUGUGUAGCUCGCCGCCACGCGUCAUCUGAGCGAGAUACAACUACUCGA
This 505-nucleotide ribosomal RNA is filed under the name uncultured bacterium. Its description in RNAcentral is "partial 16S ribosomal RNA". The record is from RNAcentral.